Podarcis lilfordi (Lilford's wall lizard) is the source of this 3966-nucleotide non-coding RNA. The record is from the annotation of a GenBank genome assembly. Lineage: Eukaryota; Metazoa; Chordata; Lepidosauria; Squamata; Lacertidae.
UGUACUUGAAUUUAAGGAUGCCACGUUAUGAAGUGUUACUUUUGUAUGGAUAUUUAUUUCUGGUGGAAGAGUGUUGCCCUUACACUUUAUAUCUUUCUGCUUCCUCAGAUGCUCUUUUAUACAGAAAACCGAUUCAGAAAGGUAAAUUUCCAGGGGAGGAACAAUUUCACAAGAGGGAUGGGGACUGAUAUUUCAUGAGUGUUGAACCGUCUGUUCUGCAGACUUUGGGACCCCCAUCAAUGGCGUCACUCUGGGAAACAGUCCUCUACUGGCGUUUGGGUACAUUGUCUGUCCCAUGAAUGAACUGGGAGGGGUUUGAAGACUUGGCUUGGGGGCAGAGCUUGUCCCUGCGAAGAACCUGCACACCAGUCGCCAGUUCCUUUCCUGCCUAUAGACUAUUAUCCUGGUUUCUCCCUUAAUUUUAUAGAUUUUGCUUUCUUUCUUAAAAUCUAUAUACUGCUUGUUUGUAGGGAAAAGCCUCAGAGCCUUACAAUAUCUUACAAAAGCCCUUAAGGAGCAUCCUGCAGGGUCAGUUCAAUGUCCAUCUUGUUGAGUUCUCAUGUAUAAGGAAUCUUCCUUGCAUUUUGUUAUCCCUCCACACAAUCUGAGGAUGUUCUUUUGGGGCUUCUCUUGAUUUGCUUGGAUUUCCCCCUCGUGAAGUGUGUUAAAAGGGGCACCCGCAAGCACACAGUCCCUCCUCCACCUCCUGCCCAGGCUGGUCUCCCAGCAGCAGAGCAAGGCCUGAGCCGCCUCUUCCUCAGAGUUUCAACCUCACCAGCCAUUUCUCGUGCUUCAGCCAUCCCCAUCUCCUCAGAGUUCCCCCAGUUCUUAGGAGAUCAGCCCCAUUCUAUGAGAGAGGACUUCCCAUUGCACAAGACCCUUGGAAUUACAGUGAAAAGCUCUGCCAAUUUUUCCUUUGCAAUUUGGUUUGUCAGCAUAAUUGGAAAUUCCAGUUUCAACAGCUUUUCCCCACCAGUUUACUUGGGGCAGAUGUUAAACCUUUCUUCAUCCAUCCAGUUCAGAUCCCCAUUUCAUUUGUGGAUUUUGAAUGAUUGUAUUCCCCCAUUUUCUAGUAUGGUUUACCAUUUAUGAUUUUCCCAUGAAAUCAUGGAAUAGCAGAGUCUGAAAGGAUCCCAAGGAUUAUCUAGUCCAGUCCCCUGCAAUGCGGGAAUCACAGCUAAACUCGUUAGUUGUUUUAAUUCCUUAGGCCUAGUGAUAUUACAUUCUCAAGAAUUAUAUUUUGGAGAAUAAUUAACAUCACUACUUAGUCCUACAGUUGUUGUCUUUGCAUGAUUUCAUCUUUUGCUUGAAAUAAGGAAACAACAGAUGCUAUGAUUUGAUGAUGUUUUGUAAAAAAAGAUUUCUUUUUAAGCUACUGCAUUGUUGCCUGUUAAGCCUGUCUUUUUGCUUCCUCAGAUGUUCAGUCAUUCAGAAAUCUUCAGAAAGGUAAAUUUCACAUGAAGACCCCAAUUCACAGGAGGGGGACUAGUGUUUCAUGGGGGUCAAGAGUCUCUUUUGUACAGCUUGACUCUCCCCCUGCUGUUUGUACCACAAAGGCAGAGAGGGUGGACUUGAAGGUGCAGAAGGGGGGGGGGGAGAGAAACUGCCCAGAAGGAUCAGAUAAAAGAGGGAAGAGUUUCAUUCCUGCCUAGAGAGAGUUGGGUUGCUUUUCCAUGUGACCUUUUUCUCAGACAGGUCCUCUAUUUUCAUGGUUAAAAUUUCUCCCCUGGGCGGAUUUUUAAAAUUUGGCAAAAUGUCUCAAGUUGCUUGGUUUGGUUUACAGUAACCCAUGAAAAAAAAUUCUAGUGCAUUAGAUUCAGAUCUAAGGCACCCAGCUAAGCUAGCCUAGAGCAAAGAAUCGCAACAGAGCAGCAUCUUAAGCUAGCCACAUCCUGCAUAAAACCCUUCUCUUGUGGCUGAACUAAAAGGACGCUGGCUCAGCUACAAGAUCUUGGAGGAGGAAUCUGGGAGGGCGAGAGUUAACACCCCCCUGCCCUUAAGGAGAGUCCAUAUGUACAUGUUUAACAGUUUAAUAAAUUGUUCUGUGCACACUUGCAUUCACAAAGAUGUGAACACGAGCCCAAAUACUUUAAAGUGGCAAGUGAGGGAGCAAUUAUUAUUAUUAUUAUUAUUAUUAUUAUUAUUUGGUUGUUGAAAGUUAAGAACAUUGCUACUAGCAGUAUAUCACAGCUUUGAAAGCCUACAUAGAGUAGGGGUAUUUAAAAUGAGUGUUGUCAUAGCGAUCCAUGGUUAAGAGUAGAAGUUGGCAAAUGUGUCCUCUUUUUGCUCUUCGAAAUACAGCAACUCUACACUUGCCUGCCAUGAAUGUCUAAGCCCCUAACUGGUAACUUUUUGAGUUAUUCCUCCUCCUCCCAGGGAACUAGUCUUAUGGUAUAUGUUACAUCCAAAAGAGAAGCAUGGAAUAAGCAGUCCUUUGUAAAAUUGCCCUGCCACCUGCCUCCUCUUCCCUGGCGGCAAGGCCUAAACUUCCAAGAUGGUGGGGAGGAAGGCAAGGAGAGACCAAGUGGGUGAGAGAGAUGGAGAGCUGGAAUAAACAGGCUCCCCACUUAAUGCGAUUUUGACUUGUGGGCACGAGGGCCCAGAACGUGACCCCCGUGAAAGUGAGGGGAGGCCUAUAUGUGGUUUUAUGUUGUAUUUUUAUGCUGUGAACCACCCUGAGACCUGUAGAUGAAGGGCAGUAGGCAAAUAUAAUUUGUUGUUGCUGUUGUUGUUAGAAGAGGGGGGUCCUCCUCCCCCAGCCCAACCAGAGGUCCCCAAAGGCCAAUUCCCACAGAGAUUGUCAGAGGAAAGCAGCUUCUCUCUCUCCUGCCUCCUCCAAUUCUCCUCUCUUUCCCCUUAGAUAACACAGAAGAGCUGAGUAAAAGGUUUAAUGGGUGGUUUUUCCUCCUAGAAAAUGCCUGGGAUGAGAGAAGGGCAGGAAUAAUACACAUCGGAUAUAAGAAAGUGAAGGGAACUGAUUUAAAAAACAAGAAGGAAGAUAUUUAUUCUGAUGAGAGUCAGGGGUCUCAGUCUAGCAUGCGAUGCAAAGAAAUCCCCUUGAUCUGAAAGGGAACCUGGGGUUUUCGGGGGGUUUUAUUAUUAUUAUCAGUAUGUCCAUUUCUGUCUCUCAGCUGACUCUGCAUAUUCUUCUCUUUCCCUCAUCUUCUUCCCAACAGCAAAUGUCACUCUGGAUCCAGACACAGCCCAUCCUGAACUCAUCCUGUCCGAGGAUGGGAAAAGCGUGAGAAGGGGAGACAAACCUCAAGCCCUGCCUGACAAUCCUGAGAGAUUCAGUGACCGGCCUUGUGUGUUGGGACGUGAGGGAUUCACAGCAGGCAGCCAUUUCUGGGAAGUCACUGUGGAAAGUGGGGAAUGGUGGGCUCUGGGGGUCGCCAGGAAGUCUGUGGAGAGAAAGGGCAUCUUUGACUUAAGCCCUGAGUGGGGGAUCUGGGCUGUGGGGAAGUGGGGAGGGGGCUACUUUGCCUGCACCUCCCCUGUUUCCUCUCCUCUGUCCCUGAGUGAGGAGCCCAGGAGGAUCCGGGUGACUCUGGACUAUGAAGGGGGACGUGUGUCUUUUUCUGACGCUGACUCAGGAGCCGAACUCUACACGUUCUCAGGAGCCUCGUUCUCUGGAGAGACCCUCCUCCCUUUCUUUUGUCUGGGGGGAUAUAAAACCCACUUCAGUAUCUCCUGAGGAGACUAAAUCUGCCUCUCAGGCCCAGCAGGAGUUUCUCUCCAGACCAGAGUGACUGACAUAAAAACCAUUUACCCGCCAAGAGCAGGUUGGGCAGUUUUCCAAGGGCCCUUUGAGAGGAUUCAUUCCAGUCAAAAUCAGCAGAAAUAACCAAACAAAAAUAAGUUGCUCUUGCUUUGCAUUUUCCUUCCUUUUCCCAGAAUUCCCUCUGCAGCUCACUUCUUAAAGAGACAGUCACACUUUUAGAAGUCCUAAUAAAUUUUCUCACCUUC